RNAcentral lists this ribosomal RNA (468 nucleotides) under uncultured bacterium. RNAcentral's name for it is "partial 16S ribosomal RNA". It matches the Rfam family "Bacterial small subunit ribosomal RNA", at positions 28 to 507 of the family's 1533-position model. The record is from RNAcentral.
GACGAACGCUGGCGGCGUGCUUAACACAUGCAAGUCGAACGGAAAGGCCCUGCUUUUGUGGGUUGCUCGAGUGGCGAACGGGUGAGUAACACGUGAGUAACCUGCCCUUGACUUUGGGAUAACUUCAGGAAACUGGGGCUAAUACCGGAUAGGAGCUCCUGCUGCAUGGUGGGGGUUGGAAAGUUUCGGCGGUUGGGGAUGGACUCGCGGCUUAUCAGCUUGUUGGUGGGGUAGUGGCUUACCAAGGCUUUGACGGGUAGCCGGCCUGAGAGGGUGACCGGGCACAUUGGGACUGAGAUACGGCCCAGAAUGCUACGGGAGGCAGCAGUGGGGAAUAUUGCAGAAUGGGCGGAAGCCUGAUGCAGCAACGCCGCGUGCGGGAUGACGGCCUUCGGGUUGUAAACCGCUUUCGCCUGUGACGAAGCGUGAGUGACGGUAAUGGGUAAAGAAGCACCGGCUAACUACGUG